This 72-nucleotide transfer RNA is filed under the name Camelus bactrianus (Bactrian camel). It matches the Rfam family "tRNA". Rfam says of the family: Transfer RNA (tRNA) molecules are approximately 80 nucleotides in length. Their secondary structure includes four short double-helical elements and three loops (D, anti-codon, and T loops). The record is from Rfam by way of RNAcentral. Lineage: Eukaryota; Metazoa; Chordata; Mammalia; Artiodactyla; Camelidae. RNAcentral also lists the same sequence under 1 other name.
GAGGGUAUAGGUCAAUGGUAGAGUACAUGCUUAGCAUGUGUGACAUCCUGGGUUCAAACCCCAGUACCUCCA